UGAACUUUAUGCAGCAUUUGAUCCCCUGGCAGACAAGGCUCUAGCUAUUAAGACUUGCAAUCGAGUAUGUCAAUGGAUCAAGAAUAUAGAGAAUGAGAUUUUCUUGUUAGGAGCCAGUCCUUUUUCAUGGUGAUUCUCUCCAUGUUUCGAAUUCCUUACAAUAAGCUUUUGUUGCCUCAUUUCUGCAGGCUUCCAAUUUUUGUGGUUAUUUAGGAAAUGCCAAUUGUAGUUUAAAGUUUGGCAGUCAAGAUAUGAGUUGGUCUCACUCUAGCCGUCGUUUUAUUUUCGUUUGUACAAUUUAUGAAAUUUUGUACCUUUAUGCUG
Molecule: unclassified non-coding RNA, 324 nt
Filed under: Hevea brasiliensis (rubber tree)
Lineage: Eukaryota; Viridiplantae; Streptophyta; Magnoliopsida; Malpighiales; Euphorbiaceae
Source: RNAcentral